Molecule: ribosomal RNA, 254 nt
Filed under: uncultured bacterium
Lineage: Bacteria
Description: partial 16S ribosomal RNA
Rfam family: Bacterial small subunit ribosomal RNA
Source: RNAcentral
UACAGAGGUGCCAAGCGUUAGGCGGAAUCACUGGGCUUAAAGCGCGUGUAGGCGGGUCGUUAAGUGUCCGAGUGAAAUCCCACGGCUCAACCGUGGAACUGCCGGGCAUACUGGCGGUCUUGAGGCAUUCAGGGGCGAGCGGAACAAAUGGUGGAGCGGUGAAAUGCGUAGAUAUCAUUUGGAACGCCAAUGGUGAAAACAGCUCGCUGGGAAUGAUCUGACGCUGAGACGCGAAAGCCAGGGGAGCGAACGGG